This 492-nucleotide ribosomal RNA is filed under the name uncultured bacterium. Its description in RNAcentral is "partial 16S ribosomal RNA". It matches the Rfam family "Bacterial small subunit ribosomal RNA", at positions 29 to 507 of the family's 1533-position model. The record is from RNAcentral.
AGUGAACGCUGGCGGUAGGCCUAACACAUGCAAGUCGAACGGCAGCACAGUAAGAGCUUGCUCUUACGGGUGGCGAGUGGCGGACGGGUGAGGAAUACAUCGGAAUCUACUUUUUCGUGGGGGAUAACGUAGGGAAACUUACGCUAAUACCGCAUACGACCUACGGGUGAAAGCAGGGGAUCUUCGGACCUUGCGCGAUUGAAUGAGCCGAUGUCGGAUUAGCUAGUUGGCGGGGUAAAGGCCCACCAAGGCGACGAUCCGUAGCUGGUCUGAGAGGAUGACCAGCCACACUGGAACUGAGACACGGUCCAGACUCCUACGGGAGGCAGCAGUGGGGAAUAUUGGACAAUGGGCGCAAGCCUGAUCCAGCCAUACCGCGUGGGUGAAGAAGGCCUUCGGGUUGUAAAGUCCUUUUGUUGGGAAAGAAAAGCAGCAGGUUAAUACCCUGCUGUUCUGACGGUACCCAAAGAAUAAGCACCGGCUAACUUCGUG